ACCCGGAACCUUGAAGAUGGAAGAUGGAACCUGGAAGAUGGAACCCAGAAGCUGGAAGAUGGAACCUGAAAGCUGGAAGAUGGAACCUGAAAGCUGGAAGCUGGAAGAUAGAACCUGGAACCCGAAAGCUAGAAGCUGGUUCAACGUCAGAUGAUGGAUGAGGCUGGGAAGAAAAAGAGGAGUUCUCAGUGCACAGUGAAGGUCACAUGGUUCCUGCUCCUCCAUCAACGUUGACGAGCGUUAAGGCCGCGUCGCGUGACCUCGAUGUGAUGGAGGCCGAGUGAAAAACUGACCAACCAAGAGCGAGAAGGAAGACUCACACUUUCACACAGCCGAGAACUGGAAGAAAAGUGCACGU
Long non-coding RNA from Pseudoliparis swirei, 358 nucleotides. RefSeq lists it as uncharacterized. The record is from RefSeq and is a predicted model, not a curated record. NCBI's taxonomy places the organism in Eukaryota, Metazoa, Chordata, Actinopteri, Perciformes, Liparidae. The transcript has 3 exons.